GAUGAACGCUGGCGGCGUGCCUAACACAUGCAAGUCGAACGGAGAUUCCGGACGGUAGUUUUCGGAUGGAUGACUGUAAUUCUUAGUGUCGGACGUGUGUGUAACGCGUGUGCAACUUGCCCUACUCCGGGGGAUAGCAGCUGGAAACGGCUGGUAAGUCCGCCUACGUCGGUUAAAUCGCAUGAUUUGAUCUGGUAAUGAGCAAUCAUGUAUAGGAUGGGCCUGCGCUCGAUUAGCCAGUUGGCAGGGUAAAAGCCUACCAUAGCGACGAUCGGUAGCCGGACAGAGAGGUCGGACGGACACAUUGGGACUGAGACACAGCACAGACUCCUACGAGAGGGGGGAGUGGGGGAUAGAGCAAAAUGGAGGAAGCGCUGAAGGAGCGACGACGCGAAAGUGAAGAAGUAAGGGAGUAAGUAAAGCGCAAUUAGCAAGGAAGAUGAUGACGGUACCUAACUAAGAAGCCACGGCUAACUACGUG
RNAcentral lists this ribosomal RNA (481 nucleotides) under uncultured bacterium. RNAcentral describes it as "partial 16S ribosomal RNA". It matches the Rfam family "Bacterial small subunit ribosomal RNA", at positions 28 to 507 of the family's 1533-position model. The record is from RNAcentral.